Molecule: ribosomal RNA, 424 nt
Filed under: uncultured eukaryote
Lineage: Eukaryota
Description: bacterial SSU rRNA
Rfam family: Eukaryotic small subunit ribosomal RNA
Source: RNAcentral
CAAUAGCGUAUAUUAAAGCUGUUGACGGUUAAAAAGCUCGUAGUUGGACUUCUGCUGAGGACGACUGGUCUGCCCUCUGGGUGAGUAUCUGGUUCGGCCGAAGCAUCUUCUUGGAGGUUGCAAGCGCACUUCAUUGUGUGGUGCAACCGACUGGAAUUUUACUUUGAGGAAAUUUAGAGUGUUUCAAGCAGGCAUACGCCUUGAAAACGUUAGCAUGGAAUAAUAAGAUAGGGUCACUUCUCUAUUUUGUUGGUUUCUAGAAUCGUGACAAUGAUUAAUAGGGAUAGUCGGGGGUAUUUGUAUUCAACUGUCAGAGGUGAAAUUCUUGGAUUUGUUGAAGACAGACUACUGCGAAAGCAUUUACCAAGGAUGUUUUCAUUGAUCAAGAACGAAAGUUAGGGGAUCGAAGACGAUCAGAUACCAU